Molecule: long non-coding RNA, 990 nt
Filed under: Homo sapiens (human)
Lineage: Eukaryota; Metazoa; Chordata; Mammalia; Primates; Hominidae
Description: HSALNT0331536
Source: RNAcentral
GACUCCUGAUAUCAAGUGAUCUUCCCGCCUCGGCCUCCCAGAGUGCUGAGAUUACAGACGUGAACCCAUGCCUGGCCAGGAAUUUUGUUUUUUAGGAAGGCUUUCUACUAAUGGAAUUCCUGGCCUUGAGAGGAUGUUACUUUAGAAGGAAAGGAUUUUUUUGUUAUUAAAAGAGCCACCUAAGCUGAAGAUUCCCUUGAGAACAAGUACUGUCCCUGGUUUCCCAGUGCUGGAAUAUAGAAAAUGGAUGGACAACUGGACCUACCAUGAAAGACUUCUGAAUCCAGGAAGAGAAACUGACUGGGCAACAUGUUAUUCAGAUGGGGUCUUCUUAUGUUGCCCAGGUUGGUCUCAAAUUCCUAGGCUCAAGUGAUUCCGCCCACCUCUGCCUCCCAAAGUGCUGGGAUUACGGGCAUGAGCCAGCGCAUCUGGCCACCUUAUUUUCUAUUACUGGCUCAAUGUAAUGGCUCCAUCUCAGGAACAGCCAAUGAAAGAGAUGCACAGGACAAGGUGGACAGUCUAGUUGCAGGAAAACAAGCUCAGAGAUCCCACUGAGUCUACGUUAUACUGGAUCUACCAUGAAAGACUUGUGAAUCCAGGAAGAGAGACUGACUGGGCAACAUGUUAUUCAGGUGGGAACAUCCAGUUGCGGGAAAACAAGCUUAACACGCCCACUGAUUCUACAUUAUGCUCCUACCUCCCGGCAGCCUCUCCAGGCCCAGAACUUUCUCCAGUCAGCCUCUACAGACCAAGCUCAUGACUCACAAUGGCCUAUUUAGGCCCAUACCCUACGUCACGGCAGCCUCCGCAGAUGAGCCUACUGCCUCACAACAGCCUCCACAGGCACAGCUCCAUCGUUACAAUGGCCUCUUUAGACCCAGCUCCUGCCUCCCAGCCUUCUCUCCAGGCUCUGAACUUUCUCAGUAAGUUCAGGUAGCUGGGACUGUAGGGUCUCCCUCUGUUGUCCAAGGCUGGAGUGUAGUAGUGCUA